This 331-nucleotide ribosomal RNA is filed under the name uncultured eukaryote. RNAcentral's name for it is "partial 18S ribosomal RNA". It matches the Rfam family "Eukaryotic small subunit ribosomal RNA", at positions 1470 to 1796 of the family's 1831-position model. The record is from RNAcentral.
CCCUUAGAUGUUCUGGGCCGCACGCGCGCUACACUGACGAAGUCAGCGAGCAUGUCCUACGCCGACAGGUGCGGGGAAUCUUGUCAAACUUCGUCGUGAUGGGGAUUGAUUAUUGAAAUUCUUGAUCAUCAACGAGGAAUUCCUAGUAAGCGCAAGUCAGCAGCUUGCGUUGAUUACGUCCCUGCCCUUUGUAUACACCGCCCGUCGCUACUACCGAUUGAAUGGUUUAGUGAGAUCUUCGGAUUGGCGCCACUGCGGCUCAGCAAUGGGCUCGGUGGAUGCCGAAAAGUUGAUCAAACUUGAUCAUUUAGAGGAAGUAAAAGUCGUAACA